GUGGGGAAUAUUGGGCAAUGGGCGCAAGCCUGACCCAGCAACGCCGCGUGAGGGAAGAAGGCUUUCGGGUUGUAAACCUCUGUCCUUGGUGACGAAACAAAUGACGGUAGCCAAGGAGGAAGCCCCGGCUAACUACGUGCCAGCAGCCGCGGUAAUACGUAGGGGGCGAGCGUUGUCCGGAAUUACUGGGCGUAAAGGGUGCGUAGGUGGCCUUUUAAGUUGGAUGUGAAGUACCCGGGCUUAACUUGGGGGGUGCAUCCAAAACUGGGAGGCUGGAGUGCAGGAGAGGAAAGCGGAAUUCCUAGUGUAGCGGUGAAAUGCGUAGAUAUUAGGAGGAACACCAGUGGCGAAGGCGGCUUUCUGGACUGUAACUGACACUGAGGCACGAAAGCGUGGGGAGCAAACAGGAUUAGAAACCCGAGUAGUCC
This 428-nucleotide ribosomal RNA is filed under the name uncultured bacterium. Its description in RNAcentral is "partial 16S ribosomal RNA". It matches the Rfam family "Bacterial small subunit ribosomal RNA", at positions 354 to 796 of the family's 1533-position model. The record is from RNAcentral.